Molecule: ribosomal RNA, 274 nt
Filed under: uncultured bacterium
Lineage: Bacteria
Description: partial 16S ribosomal RNA
Rfam family: Bacterial small subunit ribosomal RNA
Source: RNAcentral
AUACGGAGGGUGCGAGCGUUGUUCGGAAUCACUGGGCGUAAAGGGCGCGCAGGCGGUCUGUCAAGUCAGAUGUGAAAGCCCACGGCUCAACCGUGGACGUGCAUCUGAAACUGGCAGACUCGAGUACCGGAGGGGAAAGUGGAAUUCCCGGUGUAGAGGUGAAAUUCGUAGAUAUCGGGAGGAAUACUGGAGGCGAAGGCGACUUUCUGGACGGAUACUGACGCUGAGGCGCGAAAGCGUGGGGAGCGAACAGGAUUAGAAACCCUAGUAGUCC